RNAcentral lists this ribosomal RNA (499 nucleotides) under uncultured soil bacterium. RNAcentral's name for it is "bacterial SSU rRNA". It matches the Rfam family "Bacterial small subunit ribosomal RNA", at positions 8 to 524 of the family's 1533-position model. The record is from RNAcentral.
AGAGUUUGAUCCUGGCUCAGAAUGAACGUUGGCGGCGUGGAUUAGGCAUGCAAGUCGUGCGCGAAACGUAGCAAUACGUGGAGAGCGGCGAAAGGGAGAGUACACCAUGGUUAGCUACCCUCGGGACUGGGAUAGCGGCGGGAAACUGCCGGUAAUACCAGAUGACGUCUUCGGACCAAACGUGUGAAUCGGCCCGAGGAGGCGACCGUGUCCUAUCAGCUAGUUGGCGGGGUAAUGGCCCACCAAGGCUAAGACGGGUAUGGGGCGUGAGAGCGUGCCCCCACUCACUGGGACUGAGAUACUGCCCAGACACCUACGGGUGGCUGCAGUCGAGAAUCUUCGGCAAUGGGCGCAAGCCUGACCGAGCGACGCCGCGUGCGGGAUGAAGGCCUUCGGGUUGUAAACCGCUGUCGUAGGGGAGGAAGGUCUGGUGCAGAGCCAGGCUUGACCGAUCCUAGGAGGAAGGGCCGGCUAAUCUCGUGCCAGCAGCCGCGGUAAU